Molecule: ribosomal RNA, 274 nt
Filed under: uncultured bacterium
Lineage: Bacteria
Description: partial 16S ribosomal RNA
Rfam family: Bacterial small subunit ribosomal RNA
Source: RNAcentral
AUACGGAGGGUGCAAGCGUUACUCGGAAUCACAGGGCGUAAAGCGCGCGCAGGCGGGCUGAUAAGUUGGAUGUGAAAGCCUACGGCUCAACCGUAGAACUGCAUCCAAAACUGUCAGUCUAGAGUGUGGGAGAGGAAGAUGGAAUUAGUUGUGUAGGGGUAAAAUCCGUAGAGAUAACUAGGAAUACCAAAAGCGAAGGCAAUCUUCUGGAACACUACUGACGCUGAGGCGCGAAGGCGUGGGGAGCAAACAGGAUUAGAUACCCUAGUAGUCC